This is a long non-coding RNA of Ochotona princeps (American pika), 372 nucleotides long. RefSeq lists it as uncharacterized. Lineage: Eukaryota; Metazoa; Chordata; Mammalia; Lagomorpha; Ochotonidae. The record is from RefSeq and is a predicted model, not a curated record. The transcript has 2 exons.
GGACAGCUAUACACUUUAUACCAAAGGGCUGGAGAGUUGAUUUCAUAGAAUGCCUCUAAAAAUGAUUUUUUCUUCUUGAUAUGUUCAAGUGAUGGAAAUUAGGAAAUUCUGCAAGGCCCUUGCUCUGUGGUACAGUGAGUUAAGCUGCCAUUUGCAAUACCGUCCAAUAACUGGAGUGAUAUCAAGGAUUGGGCCAUCCCCUGCUGCUUUUCCAGGCCACAGGCAAGGAGCUGGAUCAGAAUAGGAGCAACUGCGACACCAAGCAGCACUCAUAGGGAAUGCUGACCCUUGAAGGCAGAGGGUUCACCUGUUCAGACACAGAGCCGGCACCCAAAUAUAGUUUUAAUAACUUAGCAUUUUCUUAGCAUUUCA